CCCCCCCCCCACAAGUGGGAGGCAGGAGCUCGGACUCCUAACUUGUAAAGAAGAGACCGAUGUAAUGGACCUGCAAGAGCUUUCAUGAACAAAUCAGCGAGUUGAGACGAAGAUGGAACAAAGGACAGAGAAAUUAAGCCUUCAAGCAGUUUUUCACGAACAAAGUGACAAUCAAGCUCGAUGUGCUUGGUUCGUUCAUGAAAAAUGCAUUCUUUGCAAUAUGAAUCGCCGAUUUAUUGUCGCAAUGGAGAGGAACUAGUAAAAUAGGAGAAGCACCAAUAUCAUAAAGAAGACACACUAGCCAUGUAAUUUCCGCCACCAGUCGUCUCAUAGAACGGUAUUCCGCUUCCACAGAAGAGAGGGCAAUAGCUGGUUGUUUUUCGACUUCCAAAAAAUAGGACCGCCACGCAAACAAUAAAAAAUCCGCUCACCAAUCUGUGAGUAUCAGUGCAAGAUGCCUAAUCGGAGCACAAAAGGCGAAGAUAUGUAAAGAAGACCCCGGAGAUCUGAACAAACCAAGGUCAGGAUCUCUACUGAUGUGUUUGAGAGUACAUAAAGCUACUUGAAAAAUGGCCAUUGUGUGGAGAUUAUAUGUAUUGACUCAAAGUCUGAACGGCAUAAGAAAGAUCGGGUCUCGUAUUGGUAAUAAAAUUGAGCUUUCCAAGUAAUCGUCGGUAAACCAUGGGAUCUGGCAAAGGUACACCCUUUGUGGAUUUCAGUUUAGAAGUAGGUUUAAGAGGCGUGGAGACUGACCGACAACCUAUGCAGUUGAAUUCUUCAAGCCACUCUAGGGCAAAUUUGCAUUGGGUUACAACCAGUGCUGCUCAUUCCCGUAUUAAUUCCAUACCCAAAAAAUAGUGAGCCUUUCUUAAAUCCUUAAUUUUGAACUCGGCAUAAAAAAACUGCUUGAUUUCACUAACUUCUUGUGUAUUGUUACCAUUAAUGAGAAUGUCAUCAAUGUACACUGCAAGGAGCGUAAUCAAAUCCCUAGUCUUUUUGAAGAACAAAGAGUAAUCAUUUAGUGAGGAAGUGAAUCCUCUGGUUGCGAGCGCGGAGGACAAAUGAGCAUACCAUUUACAUGAGGCUUGCUUUAAGCCAUAUAAGGAUUUCUAGAGUCGAGACACAUGAGAGGGAGAAAGAGGGACUAAACCUAGAGGAAACCUCGUAUAGACUUCUUCUUGCAAGUUACCAUAGAAGAAUGCGUUGUUAAUAUCAAGUUGGUAAAUCUUCUAAUCUUUCUUAACUUCAAAUACUAAGAUACAUUGUAUAGUUGUCAUUUUUACAACAGGAGAAAAAAUCUCUGUAUAGUCAAUACCCACACGUAGUGUAUCCCCUCUGGUUACCAACCGUGCUUUCAGUUUUCCAAAGAUCCGUCUGACUUCAGUUUUUCUUUGUAAAUCCACUUGCAAGCUAAAGGUUUCUUGCUGUUUGGCAAUUGAACCAUGUCCCAUGUUUCUUGGAAUUCAAUGCCUCAAACUCUUUAUCUAUGGAAACUUUCCACCCAGGAUGCAUCACAACUUAUUGGUAAGAUGUUGGAUCAGUAAUUUGACAAGUUGAAGUAAUAAGUAUCUGGUUUUGUGGUGUCAUUAAAGAAAAGGAUGAAUGAUAAAAAAGAAGACAAGGUGGAUUAGGUGACAGUAAAAGAAGCGUCACAUAUGUUAUCUGAUAUAUACUUAGGUGGAUUAUGAUCCCUUUGUGAUCUCCUCAGUUGAUGCUCAGGUUCUGAAGGCAAAACUUCUCCACUAGAAAUGGAUUUGUAGGAUUAUUCAAAAUAGGAGAAAUAGAGGGAGAAGGUGAGUGAAAAAUAGGUGACCUUACCGCUGAGAUGUAGAAUUAUUAGGAGAAACUGCAGUAGAGGGAGAAGAAGUUACAUGCUUAUUAGGGGAUGAAAAAACAUACUCAAUAGGAGACGGAAGCAUACUGGAAAGAGUUUAGACAAGGAAAAGGGAAAGAUAGUCUCAACAAACUUGACAUCUCUACGAAGGAUCACCUGACUUGUUUGUAAAUUUAGAAUCUUGUAUUUUUUUUUCAAAUGGAUACCCUAUAAAAACACCAGGAAAGGCUCUAGGACUCAACUUGUCUCUAUCUCUGGAGAGAGUAGAACUGAAGCAUAGACAACCAAAUGUCUUAAGGAAUGAGUAAUCUGGAUCUGUCCCAAAUAGAACAUGGUAGGGAGAUUUAAGUUGAAGAACUUGAGAAGGAAAUUUGUUAAUCAAAUGGGUAGUUGUAAGUAAACACUCCCCCACCCCCCAACCCCCAGUAUUUUUUAGGAACAUGUGAUUGAAACAUCAUUGCCCUACAAGUGUCUAACAAAUGUCUAUGCUUUCUUUUAACUACCCUAUUUUGUUGUGGGGUUUCUACACAACUAGUCUGAUGGAUAAUUCCUUGAGAAUUGUAGUAAUCCAUUUGAAUAUGUCAUGUCCCUCUUUCAAAUGCAUUAUCUAAUCUGAUCAUUUUUACUUAGGUGGAAAACUGUCUUUCAACAAGGGUUAGGAAAGCUUUCAAAGUAGGAAAUGCAUUAGAUUUGGUGGAUAGCAAGAAAGUCCAAGUACUUCUAGAGAAAUCAUCAACCACAGUUAGAAAGUACUUCUCCCCUUUAUAUGUUGGUGUGUUGUAUAGUCCCCAUAUGUCUAUAUGUAUCAAGUCAAAAGAAUACUUGGAUAUAAUUGUGUUUUUGGUAAAUAGUGGUUUAGACUGUCUUUCCGUAGCACACACUUGUUAAGAGAAUUUGUUGUUAUUUGUAGAAGUAACAUGUAUUGCUUUAAUAUAUUUCAUAGCAUCAUAUGGUAAGUGUCCUAAGCGAAAAUGUCAUAUUUGUUUGAAUCAGUCACAUUCAUGCCAUCAUUUGAAAUAGAAACAUUAAUAUUGAUAUUUUCAUUUAAAUUUGAUGGACAAAGAGGACUCAAUAGAACAGGACACUUUGCCCUUUCACAAACAGACUCUGAAUCAGAAGACAAUGACCCUAGCAGUCUAUGCCUACUACUAGAAGAAAAAGAAGCUUAAAUAGGUGAUUUAAUUGAGUGUAUUCCCAAUGUAGAAGUGUAAUCCUUGAGAACACAGAGACCAGUUGUGGUUUCACCAAAGAGAGGCUCUUUUCCCAUUAAAGAGGCCUGCAAAAUGCAUCCCGCCUUAGUAUACAACAAUUUAUAAUUCAUAUCAUUGACAAACUAACUUACUGACAAAAGAUUAUGCUUGAAAUCAGGCACAUGUAACACAUGGUAGAGUUUUAUCCCUGGAGGAAGAACUAUAUUGCCUACAACAUAGGCUUUUACUUAACAAGAAUUGGCCAAAUUGACUAGAAGUGGCGUGGGAAAUAACCUAAGAUCAUGCAACAAGCGUCUUUCGAAAGUCAUAUGUUGUAUAGCACCACUAUCUGGAAUCCAAGGAUAUUUGGUUAAGUUUGAAAGAAGUGAGGUAAGGGAAAGCAAAGCAUGUUGCAUACCAACUAGAUUUGUGGCUGCAAUAGGUUCAGAGGAAGCUGUAGAGGUUCCUUGCAGAGAUUGAAACAUUUGGAUCAACUAGUCACACUGCUCCUUGGUGAAUCCUUGUGCUCCAACCAAAGUGGAAACACUUUCUCCUGCCAUUCCUGAGCUUAAAUCCCUUCCAGUUAUUUCCAUGUUAGCUUGUGUAGUAGAAGGUAGUGGCUUCAUCAUCAAGAUAUUUGCUCUCACACCAGAAUAGCAUCAUUAAGUCCCAUAAGGAGUUGAAUCAAUUUUUGAUACUCAUUUAUCUUAACGUUGUGGGUCUUUUCUCCACACUUACAAUCACAAUUGCAUAUCAUA
This 3782-nucleotide long non-coding RNA is filed under the name Nicotiana benthamiana. RNAcentral describes it as "long non-coding RNA (NBEN_LNC030243)". The record is from RNAcentral. Lineage: Eukaryota; Viridiplantae; Streptophyta; Magnoliopsida; Solanales; Solanaceae.